Molecule: ribosomal RNA, 369 nt
Filed under: Chthamalus anisopoma
Lineage: Eukaryota; Metazoa; Arthropoda; Thecostraca; Balanomorpha; Chthamalidae
Description: partial 12S ribosomal RNA
Source: RNAcentral
UUGAAACCAGGAUUAGAUACCCCGUUACUUUUAUUAUAAAACUUUAGAGGAUUAAUAUUUUUGAAAUUUAACGGAUUUGACGGCAAGAUAGUCCAUUUAGAGGAACCUGUCCUGUAAACGAUGAACCACGAUUCACAUUACUUUUCUUUGUAAACAGUUUGUAUACCGCUGUUGUCAGUUAGUUUUAUGAGAAAACUUUCAAUAAUGAUAAGAUCAUUGACUUCAAGUAAAGGUGCAGCUUAUAGGAAAGCUAGAGAUGGGUUACAAUUUAGAAGAUAAAUACUGAUGGUAAAAUGAAAAUUUACCUGAAGGUGGAUUUAAUAGUAAAGUUAUUGAAAACUUGACUGGAGCACUAACUUGUGUACACAC